This 2194-nucleotide long non-coding RNA is filed under the name Coffea arabica (coffee). RNAcentral describes it as "long non-coding RNA (CARA_LNC002561)". Lineage: Eukaryota; Viridiplantae; Streptophyta; Magnoliopsida; Gentianales; Rubiaceae. The record is from RNAcentral.
CUGCGAGCUGCAUCAACAAUAAAACGACAAGCAUCAUUAGUUUUCCAUUCCCAGGGCCUGGAAAAGAUAACCAGUUCUGAGGACUGGACGACAGCAGGGGUUUCUGUUGAUGUAUAACCAAAAAGUUAAGCCAUAGUGGGAUGCAAUAAAGAGAAGUUGGAAAAGAGACAAAUGAGAUGCAGAUAGCAGGAGUGGGAAGUAGAGGAUAUGAACCUUAGCAACUCCUUUUGGGGGAAAAUCUUUGAGCUUUGGAUCUAUACAUUGUUUAACUUUGUCCUCGCUCAGUCUCGGAGUUGCCUAGAAACAUAAUAUUAGUUAAGUUGAGACAAAAUUAGAAGCUUGGUUGACAAAAAACAGAGUGAGAAAAAAGAGAAGAUAUUUAAGAAAGGAAAAAUGUCUAACCCAAGUAACAAGAGACUGCUGUCCACGAGGCAUAUUGUGAUCAACGGGCUUCCUUCCAGUUAAUAGCUCAAGGAGAACCACCCCAAAGCUAUACACAUCGCUUUUCUGCGUCAGUUGUCCUGUCAUUGCAUAUCUGCAUUCCAUAUCCACCAACAAAUUAACAGACAACUUCUACAGAAAGGAACUUUAAGCCACAAAAUGUACCAUAAAAAUUGCACAGACAAAAGCCACUAGUGAGUUAAUUUAUUAGCAGGCCUUGAAAGAUCAAGGUGUCAAGAUAACUAAUUAGCCAUCAUAACCGACCGAACCUUUACCAACCGAAACAAUAUGCAGAUUAAUCCCCAUGUAAGAUAACAGACUGACAUUUGCAUCAAUUUAGGAGACUAUCCAAAUUAAGCAUCAAGCAUUUCAAACCAUGUCAGUUACUAGCUCCAAUAGUCAGGAAAUACAACUGUGUUAGAGUUCUUGUGGCCAUUUUAGGAGAUAAGCUAUGAAUCUGCAGGAAUGUCCUCUAUCGGGCAAUUAAAGCAGCCGUGGCUAUUUACUAUUUAAUUGAGUAUAGCUAAAUCAAAUGAACGCGAUAUUUUCCAUAGCUCUACACUCAACUCAAAGGCACAAUUAUACCUAUGGAUCUUAGCAGAGACAACCCUGACUUGUGCCCAUAUUUGUCUGCUAGCUUUUAUACUUUGAAAAAUAGAACCAAAUUGAAGAUUCAUACCUAACUCAUUUUAUGGCUAUUAAACUAAUACACCUAGUAAACUGGAAAAAGCAAAAUUGGAAUUUGAAGAAAAGAAUGGAUGUACAAAAUGAUGUACAAGUCAUGCAACUUCUUGAUCAAGAAGUUGCACGAGGCCUAUAGCUUUUGGAAUUUGAAUUUGACUGCAGUGUACUAAAUGAUGUAGGCUUACCCUGAAGUAGAAACAAACUCACAUCAUAGCAGGAAAAUACCAUAUGUAGCAUUUACAGAAAAGAAAUGAAGAGAGGAGUCAAAUAGCAUUACUCUGGUGCAUGAUAACCGAAUGUUCCAAGAACUCGAGUAGAAUGAAGACGAGCAGCCAUAUCCGGAGCCUGAUUUGAAAGGUUAAAAUCUGCAAUCUUUGCUUUGUAAUCUUCAACUACAAGCACGUUGCUGGAUCUGAUAUCUCUGUGAAUUAUAGCAGGUUGAACUUUCUCAUGCAAAUAUUCAAGUCCUCUGGCGGCAUCAACAGCGAUUCUUACCCUUGUAAUCCAAUCAAGUGUUGGUCCAGGCUGGGCGUUUUGCACCCCUUUACGGCCUGUCAGAACAAAUACAAUUCAAGCAACAUCUUUUAACCAUUCAUAUAUUGAAAAGAAUACCUUGGAUCAAAUUAAACUAAACAAUGGACUCCAUUAGAUGAUGCAUAAUUCUCUCACCAUGCAAUAUGUCGUGCAAAGAACCCAUCGUUGCAAACUCAUAUGCUAAUACACGAAGAUUCCCUUCUACACAGUAUCCAAGAAGCUCAACAAGAUUUUCAUGCUUUAGCCUUGAAACCAUAGAAACCUUGAAAAAGCAUAACCUCACAAUCAGUUGCCUUGCGCAAAGAAAUAACAGCAUGAAAGGAUAUAGAAUUACUUAGAUAGGGAAAGGAUAUCAGCACUAAAUUCCUUAACACAUACCUGCGUCAAGAACUCAACAUUUGAUUCUGGCUCAGAUGACACAUCAAGCUUUUUCACAGCCACAGCUUUACCACUUUCCAGGUCUGCAUAGUAGACUCUUCCAUAGGAUCCUUCACCAAUUAAAGCCUUUGUUCCAAAAUUGUCGGUUUUCUCCUUC